RNAcentral lists this ribosomal RNA (253 nucleotides) under uncultured bacterium. RNAcentral describes it as "partial 16S ribosomal RNA". It matches the Rfam family "Bacterial small subunit ribosomal RNA", at positions 524 to 776 of the family's 1533-position model. The record is from RNAcentral.
UACGUAGGAGGCGAGCGUUGUCCGGAGUUACUGGGCGUAAAGGGCGCGUAGGCGGCCCGCUAAGUCGAACGUGAAAUCCCCGGGCUCAACCCGGGAACUGCGUCCGAUACUGGCAGGCUUGAAUCCGGGAGAGGGAUGUGGAAUUCCAGGUGUAGCGGUGAAAUGCGUAGAUAUCUGGAGGAACACCGGUGGCGAAGGCGGCAUCCUGGACCGGUAUUGACGCUGAGGCGCGAAAGCCAGGGGAGCAAACGGG